AAAAACUUUUGAUUUUGCGUGAGAGAGAAAGAGAAAUAUAAUUUUUUUAUUGUUUUGUUAUUCUGUUUCGCGUCAUUUUUACAAAUUCUUCUUUAUUUGAUCUUCUGUCAUUUUACAUAUUUUUACAAUAUUGAUUGUUGUGGCCUGUUUGUGAGAAUUAGAGGAUUAAAAAACAAUCACUACCAUACACCCAUAGCGUCUGAUGUCUGUUUGGCGUGCCUUUCAGUGAAGCUCUUGUUGUCUCUAAACACUAUGGUGGCUGACUAUUUACAAAAAACAAUUGUUAAUCCGUCUUUUACGAAAAUUAAUCGCAAUGUAGAGAAUGUCUUCGCGAACCUAGAGGAUAUAACCUUGCUAUGUUGAUUGCCAUAUCCAGGGGUUAUCUCAAUGAUACAUACUUGUUAUUAUACCAUUAUUCUCAGCAGAAUCACUACCAUACACCCAUAGCGUCUGAUGUCUGUCUGGCGUGCCUUUCAGUGAAGCUCUUGUUGUCUCCAAACACUAUGGUGGUUGACUAUUUACAAAAAACAAUUGUUAAUCCGUCUUUUACACAAAUUGAGAAUGUCUUUGCGAACCUAGAGGAUAUAACCUUGCUGCUCUGUCGUCUUAUAUAGAUGAUAUUUGGGCAAAAUAUUUGUGUUAUAAUAACGCAAUGCUUGAAUCCGAUACUAAUAGCAAUACUUGGAUCCUUGAUACUUGAAUCAUUGUGGGCUUUAUGUCGAUUUAAGAUCCCUUAGAGUUGUCACACUAUAUGAACCAUUUAUAAAAGAAAAACGUUUAUCUGAAGAUAUUCCUUCUGAUCAGUUGAUGUACUUGCGACUGUAUCAUCAUGAAUGGCAAAAUAACUUUAGAACAAAUGAGGAAAUGUAUUUGGAUUGGAAUGAAUGUCAUUUCGAAUGGUCUAUUCCGAACAAGUCUACAAUAUGCUUUGAUGCAAUUGAUUAGUUCUAUGAGAUCACCACAAAUUUAAUAAAUAGCAAAUAUCAUCUUAGGUAUGCCUUUAAAGCCGCACUUGUUGAUGGGAUGUAUCCUAAAACAUAUACAUUGUAUGCAUGUUUUAACGCCUAUUACAGUUGCUUUGUUUGCAGGAUUGUUGUAAGGUAAGCUGACCACAUGUCUUCUUUUUUUAGAGGAAACUUAUCUAUUUUAACUGGCUGUCAUCUUUAAAAUGUAUGUCCUCUUUUUAUCAUAGAAGUAGAUGUAGUAAACACUUUUUUGUUUUUGUCUUCUAUUUAAAAGUAGUUUUUUAUUAUUAAAAAAAAUAUAUGUAUAAUCCUAUUUAAAAAUAAGAAACAGAAAUUUGUAUUAAAUAAAAAUCAUAGUUAUAAAACAUGUUUUUAAAAAUAGUUUUGUCUAAAAUUUAAAAAAUCUAUAAUUAUGUAUAAAAUAAAUUGUAUUAUAAAAAUAUUUUUUGUAUUGUAGGUAGGUACCUACAUAUAUCGUGGAAUAAUAGUUUAUAAAA
Lucilia cuprina (Australian sheep blowfly) is the source of this 1462-nucleotide long non-coding RNA. RefSeq lists it as uncharacterized. The record is from RefSeq and is a predicted model, not a curated record. NCBI's taxonomy places the organism in Eukaryota, Metazoa, Arthropoda, Insecta, Diptera, Calliphoridae. The transcript has 2 exons.